GGUGAGGAUGCGGAGGUGGGGGAAGCAGGCGGGUCGCGCCUUCGGACCCAGGACGCCCCCUGCCAACCGUCGCCGUCCGCAGAUCCCCAGGAGUUGGGGGCGGGUCGCGGAACCCCCGAGGAGGUGCUCUAGAAAGUUCCCUAACUGUUCUUCGAGGCCAGCGGAGAAGGAAGCAUUCAUCAAAACCUCAUCCUUUUGAGACACAACCACACAAAACCUCCUGGAAACACCAUGUUUGCCACCUAAAGCUGGGAUGCCUUCUUAAAGACAAAGACGAUACCCCUUCUGUUUGGACAGAAAAUGAACGGGGCCAGCUAGGACCCCAGCCUCCCUCUCCUAGCCCCCCCUUGUCAAUUCCUCUGCCUUCCAACUUUGUAACGCCCUCCUUCUAUCAACAGAGGAAAAGGGCUAGGGCCCC
Long non-coding RNA from Canis lupus familiaris (dog), 418 nucleotides. RefSeq lists it as uncharacterized. The transcript has 2 exons. The record is from RefSeq and is a predicted model, not a curated record. NCBI's taxonomy places the organism in Eukaryota, Metazoa, Chordata, Mammalia, Carnivora, Canidae.